CACGUUUAUUGUACUUCAUCAGGUGCUCUGGUGUAGGUGGGAACCCGGCAUCUGUUGGAGUACAAUUGACAGG
RNAcentral lists this microRNA precursor (73 nucleotides) under Strigamia maritima. RNAcentral's name for it is "mir-305 microRNA precursor family". It matches the Rfam family "mir-305 microRNA precursor family". Lineage: Eukaryota; Metazoa; Arthropoda; Chilopoda; Geophilomorpha; Linotaeniidae. The record is from Rfam by way of RNAcentral.